UGGGGAAUAUUGCACAAUGGACGGAAGUCUGAUGCAGCAACGCCGCGUGCGGGAUGACGGCCUUCGGGUUGUAAACCGCUUUUUCUCAUGACGAAGUUUUUUGACGGUAGUGGGGGAAGAAGCACCGGCUAACUACGUGCCAGCAGCCGCGGUGAUACGUAGGGUGCGAGCGUUGUCCGGAAUUAUUGGGCGUAAAGAGCUUGUAGGCGGUUUGUCGCGUCGAUAGUGCAAACUCAGUGCUUAACGCUGAGCCUGCUGUUGAUACGGGCAGACUAGAGGAAGGUAGGGGAGAAUGGAAUUCCCGGUGGAGCGGUAGAAUGCGCAGAUAUCGGGAGGAACACCGGUGGCGAAGGCGGUUCUCUGGGCCUUUCCUGACGCUGAGAAGCGAAAGCGUGGGGAGCGAACAGG
Molecule: ribosomal RNA, 408 nt
Filed under: Fusobacteriota bacterium
Lineage: Bacteria; Fusobacteriati; Fusobacteriota
Description: Fusobacteria bacterium partial 16S ribosomal RNA
Rfam family: Bacterial small subunit ribosomal RNA
Source: RNAcentral